AGCCUCCGACGAUAUCCCUGUCGCCACAUUACGAAAGAAACUAAAAGGAAAGAAAAACUCACCUGAAUCGAAAUCAACCAGUGCGUCUUCCGACCCAUCCAAGGCUGUUGAACCCACUGUAUCGACACCAGAAAAGAAAAAGAAACGAAAAAUGCGAGGGAUUGAUACCCAACGCAAAAAGGGCGCUGCCCAAUCUUCGGGUUCAGUGGAUAUGGCGCUGCUUGAUUGUAAAUUUAUCAAAUGGAAGUACUUUGGUCAGGUAAAUUUUCAAUUCAAAGAACUUUUUGAGUUUCAAGGAUGGAUGGAUGUGUGUGAAUGUACAAAUGAGUAUUACCCUAGGCUUG
Molecule: unclassified non-coding RNA, 344 nt
Filed under: Hevea brasiliensis (rubber tree)
Lineage: Eukaryota; Viridiplantae; Streptophyta; Magnoliopsida; Malpighiales; Euphorbiaceae
Source: RNAcentral